Picea glauca (white spruce) is the source of this 121-nucleotide non-coding RNA. NCBI's taxonomy places the organism in Eukaryota, Viridiplantae, Streptophyta, Pinopsida, Pinales, Pinaceae. The record is from Rfam.
ACAUGCCUACAACAUAACGUUAAUGCACCAAAUUCCAUUAUAAAUAUGUAGUUAAGCACGCUAAGGAUAGAGUAGUAAUGAGAUGGGUUACCGCUCGGGAAGUUCUAUUGUUUUACAUGCC